CCCUUAGAUGGUCUGGGCGGCACCCGCGCUACAAUGAUGCAUUCAAAAAGUCUUCUGACCUUAGAAAGUUGGGUAUUCUCCAAAGUGCAUCGUGAUGGGAAUAGUUUAUUGCAAUUUUUAAUCUUGAACGAGGAAUUCCUAGUAAGUACAGGUCAUCAACUUGUGUUGAUUACGUCCCUGCCCUUUGUACACACCGCCCGUCGCUCCUACCGAUUGAAUGAUCCGGUGAAUAAUUCGGACUGCAGCAGUGUUCAGUUCCUGAACGUUGCAGCGGAAAGUUUAGUGAACCUUAUCACUUAGAGGAAGGAGAAGUCGUAACA
Molecule: ribosomal RNA, 320 nt
Filed under: uncultured eukaryote
Lineage: Eukaryota
Description: partial 18S ribosomal RNA
Rfam family: Eukaryotic small subunit ribosomal RNA
Source: RNAcentral